RNAcentral lists this unclassified non-coding RNA (433 nucleotides) under soil metagenome. RNAcentral describes it as "partial contains 5.8S ribosomal RNA, internal transcribed spacer 2, and large subunit ribosomal RNA". The stretch from base 1 to 120 matches the Rfam family "5.8S ribosomal RNA", at positions 35 to 154 of the family's 154-position model. The record is from RNAcentral.
GAUGAAGAACGUAGCGAAAUGCGAUACGUAAUGUGAAUUGCAGAAUUCAGUGAAUCAUCGAAUCUUUGAACGCAUAUUGCGCUCUCUGGUAUUCCGGAGAGCAUGCUUGUUUGAGUAUCAGUAAACACCUCAACUUCCAUAUCUUUUUUGAAAUGGGAGUUGGACUUGAGUGAUCCCAACGCUUUUCCUCACCGAAAAGAGGCGGGUUACUUGAAAUGCAGGUGCAGCUGGACUUUUCUCUGAGCUAUAAGCAUAUCUAUUUAGUCUGCCUAAAAAACAGAUUAUUACCUUUGCUGCAGCUAACAUAAAGGAGAUUAGUUCUUGUGCUGACUGAUGCAGGAUUCACAAAGACAGGCUUCGGCCGACUUUGUAAACUCGAUCUCAAAUCAAGUAAGACUACCCGCUGAACUUAAGCAUAUCAAUAAGCGGAGGA